GACGAACGCUGGCGGCGCGCUUAACACAUGCAAGUCGAACGGAAAGGCCUGCUUUCCCUUGUGGAUUGCGGGUACUCGAGUGGCGAACGGGUGAGUAGCACGUGAGUGAUCUGCCCCCAACUUGGGUAUAAGCCUGGGAAACUGGGUCUAAUUCCCGAUAGGACUGCAGGGUGGUGCCUGUGGUGGAAAACGAUUUUCUAGUGGUUGGGGAUGAGCUCGAGGCCUAUCAGCUUGUUGGUGGGGUAAUGGCCUACCAAGGCGGCGACGGGUAGCCGGUCUGAGAGGGUGGACGGCGACAUUGGGACUGAGAUACGGCCCAGACUGCUACGGGAGGCAGCAGUGGGGAAUAUUGGACAAUGGGCGGAAGCCUGAUGCAGCGACGCCGCGUGGGGGAUGACGGCCUUCGGGUUGUAAACUCCUUUCGACCGAGAGGAAGCCACCUGGUUGGAAGGGUGGUGACGGUAGUGGUAGAAGAAGCACCGGCUAACUACGUG
Molecule: ribosomal RNA, 494 nt
Filed under: uncultured bacterium
Lineage: Bacteria
Description: partial 16S ribosomal RNA
Rfam family: Bacterial small subunit ribosomal RNA
Source: RNAcentral